This 752-nucleotide ribosomal RNA is filed under the name Vibrio aestuarianus subsp. francensis. RNAcentral's name for it is "bacterial SSU rRNA". It matches the Rfam family "Bacterial small subunit ribosomal RNA", at positions 1 to 739 of the family's 1533-position model. Lineage: Bacteria; Pseudomonadati; Pseudomonadota; Gammaproteobacteria; Vibrionales; Vibrionaceae. The record is from RNAcentral.
UUAAUUGAAGAGUUUGAUCAUGGCUCAGAUUGAACGCUGGCGGCAGGCCUAACACAUGCAAGUCGAGCGGUAACAUUUCAAAAGCUUGCUUUUGAAGAUGACGAGCGGCGGACGGGUGAGUAAUGCCUAGGAAAUUGCCCUGAUGUGGGGGAUAACCAUUGGAAACGAUGGCUAAUACCGCAUGAUGCCUACGGGCCAAAGAGGGGGACCUUCGGGCCUCUCGCGUCAGGAUAUGCCUAGGUGGGAUUAGCUAGUUGGUGAGGUAAUGGCUCACCAAGGCGACGAUCCCUAGCUGGUCUGAGAGGAUGAUCAGCCACACUGGAACUGAGACACGGUCCAGACUCCUACGGGAGGCAGCAGUGGGGAAUAUUGCACAAUGGGCGCAAGCCUGAUGCAGCCAUGCCGCGUGUAUGAAGAAGGCCUUCGGGUUGUAAAGUACUUUCAGUCGUGAGGAAGGUGGUGUUGUUAAUAGCAGCAUCAUUUGACGUUAGCGACAGAAGAAGCACCGGCUAACUCCGUGCCAGCAGCCGCGGUAAUACGGAGGGUGCGAGCGUUAAUCGGAAUUACUGGGCGUAAAGCGCAUGCAGGUGGUUCGUUAAGUCAGAUGUGAAAGCCCGGGGCUCAACCUCGGAACUGCAUUUGAAACUGGCGGACUAGAGUACUGUAGAGGGGGGUAGAAUUUCAGGUGUAGCGUGUGAAUGCGUAAAGAUCUUAAGGAAUACCGGUGGCGAAGGCGGGCCCCUGGACGGAUA